CACAUCAUGAAAGCCGCUUGUACCCGAAGUCGCUGUGCCAACUUGCAAGAGAGGCAGGUGCCGAAGGUAUGGGUGGUGAUUGGGAUG
RNAcentral lists this ribosomal RNA (87 nucleotides) under uncultured bacterium. Its description in RNAcentral is "partial 16S ribosomal RNA". The record is from RNAcentral.